This 468-nucleotide ribosomal RNA is filed under the name uncultured bacterium. RNAcentral's name for it is "partial 16S ribosomal RNA". It matches the Rfam family "Bacterial small subunit ribosomal RNA", at positions 28 to 507 of the family's 1533-position model. The record is from RNAcentral.
GACGAACGCUGGCGGCGUGCUUAACACAUGCAAGUCGAACGGAAAGGCCCUGCUUUUGUGGGGUGCUCGAGUGGCGAACGGGUGAGUAACACGUGAGUAACCUGCCCUUGACUUUGGGAUAACUUCAGGAAACUGGGGCUAAUACCGGAUAGGAGCUCCUGCUGCAUGGUGGGGGUUGGAAAGUUUCGGCGGUUGGGGAUGGACUCGCGGCUUAUCAGCUUGUUGGUGGGGUAGUGGCUUACCAAGGCUUUGACGGGUAGCCGGCCUGAGAGGGUGACCGGCCACAUUGGGACUGUGAUGCGGCCCAGACUCCUACGGGAGGCAGCAGUGGGGAAUAUUGCACAAUGGGCGGAAGCCUGAUGCAGCAACGCCGCGUGCGGGAUGACGGCCUUCGGGUUGUAAACCGCUUUCGCCUGUGACGAAGCGUGAGUGACGGUAAUGGGUAAAGAAGCACCGGCUAACUACGUG